This 225-nucleotide long non-coding RNA is filed under the name Lathyrus oleraceus (garden pea). RNAcentral's name for it is "Pisum sativum (pea) long non-coding RNA (PSAT_LNC028326)". The record is from RNAcentral. Lineage: Eukaryota; Viridiplantae; Streptophyta; Magnoliopsida; Fabales; Fabaceae.
GAAUUUUGAGCAACUGAGAUAUUUUUGGUAAAAUCAAACUGCUAACAUGGGAAUAGUAUCAAGUAAAAUGCAAAAAUUAUGCUAGUAAAAAAUGGGAGGAUUGGGUAGUUGACCCGCCCAAAUGUCUAGUAUUUAAAUAGGAGGCUCUAUUUUAGUUUGUUUCCAUUUAACUUGAAUUCUUAUCGGUUCCUUUCCUAUACUAAGAAUUGAGCACCCAUUUUUUUC